AACACAUUUAAUAAUUGUGUAAUAAAACUAAAAGGACGCGGUAACCUUGACCGUGAUAAUGUAGCACAAUCACUCGCCAUUUAAUUGAUGGAUAGUAUGAAUGGUUUAACGAAUAUUCCACUGUCUUAAAAAGAAAUACUUAAAAAUUAAAAUAAUAGUUAUGAUACUAUUUAAGAUUGUAAGACGAAAAGACCCUAUAGAGCUUAACUAUAAUUUUUCUUAUAAUAAAGAUAACUCAAUCUAAAAAAGAAAAGCUGAUAGUUUAGUUGGGGCGACUAUCUUUUAAAACUAACAAAGAUAAGCAAAGUUAAUAAACAAAAACAAACUUAUUGUAUAAUAAAUCUAUUUAACAAUUAUGAUAAUAGGCUAUAGCGACCCGUUAAGUAUUUAUAAAAAGACUAACGAUUAAUAAAUAAAAGCUACCUUAGGGAUAACAGAAUAAUUUCAUUUUAGAGACCUCAUCAAAAAUGAAGUUUAUUACCUCUAUGUUGAAUUAAGAUAUCCUAACAAUGCAGAAGUUGUUAAAGGUAGGUCUGUUCGACCUUUAAAAUCUUACAUGAUU
Molecule: ribosomal RNA, 562 nt
Filed under: Zygophylax niger
Lineage: Eukaryota; Metazoa; Cnidaria; Hydrozoa; Leptothecata; Lafoeidae
Description: partial large subunit ribosomal RNA
Rfam family: Bacterial large subunit ribosomal RNA
Source: RNAcentral